RNAcentral lists this ribosomal RNA (253 nucleotides) under uncultured bacterium. RNAcentral's name for it is "partial 16S ribosomal RNA". It matches the Rfam family "Bacterial small subunit ribosomal RNA", at positions 524 to 776 of the family's 1533-position model. The record is from RNAcentral.
UACGAGGGGUGCAAGCGUUAUUCGGAAUUAUUGGGCGUAAAGGGUGCGUAGGCGGCACAUUAAGUCAACUGUUAAAUUCCUCGGCCUAACCGAGGCUCUGCGGUAGAUACUGGUGUGCUAGAGGGUGGAAGGGAGAAGUGGAAUUCUCGGAGUAGCGGUAAAAUGCGUAGAUCUCGAGAGGAACACCAAUGGCGAAGGCAGCUUCUUGGUCCACACCUGACGCUGAGGCACGAAAGCGUGGGGAGCAAACAGG